Molecule: ribosomal RNA, 466 nt
Filed under: uncultured bacterium
Lineage: Bacteria
Description: partial 16S ribosomal RNA
Rfam family: Bacterial small subunit ribosomal RNA
Source: RNAcentral
CGAACGCUGGCGGCGUGCUUAACACAUGCACGUCGAACGGAAAGGACCUGCUUUUGUGGGGUGCUCGAGUGGCGAACGGGUGAGUAACACGUGAGUAACCUGCCCUUGACUUUGGGAUAACUUCAGGAAACUGGGGCUAAUACCGGAUAGGAGCUCCUGCUGCAUGGUGGGGGUUGGAAAGUUUCGGCGGUUGGGGAUGGACUCGCGGCUUAUCAGCUUGUUGGUGGGGUAGUGGCUUACCAAGGCUUUGACGGGUAGCCGGCCUGAGAGGGUGACCGGCCACAUUGGGACUGAGAUACGGCCCAGACUCCUACGGGAGGCAGCAGUGGGGAAUAUUGCACAAUGGGCGGAAGCCUGAUGCAGCAACGCCGCGUGCGGGAUGACGGCCUUCGGGUUGUAAACCGCUUUCGCCUGUGACGAAGCGUGAGUGACGGUAAUGGGUAAAGAAGCACCGGCUAACUACGUG